GAUGAACGCUGGCGGCGCGCCUAGUACAUGCAAGUCGAGCGAACAGACGAGGAGCUUGCUCCUCUGACGUUAGCGGCGGACGGGUGAGUAACACGUGGAUAACCUACCUAUAAGACUGGGAUAACUUCGGGAAACCGGAGCUAAUACCGGAUAAUAUAUUGAACCGCAUGGUUCAAUAGUGAAAGACGGUUUUGCUGUCACUUAUAGAUGGAUCCGCGCCGCAUUAGCUAGUUGGUAAGGUAACGGCUUACCGAGGCAACGAUGCGUAGCCGACCUGAGAGGGUGGUCGGCCACACUGGAACUGAGACACGGUCCAGACUCCUACGGGAGGCAGCAGUCGGGAAUCUUCCGCAAUGGGCGAAAGCCUGACGGAGCAACGCCGCGUGAGUGAUGAAGGUCUUCGGAUCGGAAAACUCUGUUAUUAGGGAAGAACAAAUGUGUAAGUAACUAUGCACGUAUUGACGGUACCUAAUCAGAAAGCCACGGCUAACUACGUG
RNAcentral lists this ribosomal RNA (497 nucleotides) under uncultured bacterium. RNAcentral's name for it is "partial 16S ribosomal RNA". It matches the Rfam family "Bacterial small subunit ribosomal RNA", at positions 28 to 507 of the family's 1533-position model. The record is from RNAcentral.